Molecule: ribosomal RNA, 468 nt
Filed under: uncultured bacterium
Lineage: Bacteria
Description: partial 16S ribosomal RNA
Rfam family: Bacterial small subunit ribosomal RNA
Source: RNAcentral
GACGAACGCUGGCGGCGUGCUUAACACAUGCAAGUCGAACGGAAAGGCCCUGCUUUUGUGGGGUGCUCGAGUGGCGAACGGGUGAGUAACACGUGAGUAACCUGCCCUUGACUUUGGGAUAACUUCAGGAAACUGGGGCUAAUACCGGAUAGGAGCUCCUGCUGCAUGGUGGGGGUCGGAAAGCUUCGGCGGUUGGGGAUGGACUCCCGGCUUAUCAGCUUGUUGGUGGGGUAGUGGCUUACCAAGUCUUUGACGGGUAGCCGGCCUGAGAGGGUGACCGGCCACAUUGGUACUGAGAGACGGCCCAGACUCCUACGGGAGGCAGCAGUGGGAAAUAUUGCACAAUGGGCGGAAGCCUGAUGCAGCAACGCCGCGUGCGGGAUGACGGCCUUCGGGUUGUAAACCGCUUUCGCCUGUGACGAAGCGUGAGUGACGGUAAUGGGUAAAGAAGCACCGGCUAACUACGUG